This 479-nucleotide ribosomal RNA is filed under the name uncultured bacterium. RNAcentral describes it as "bacterial SSU rRNA". It matches the Rfam family "Bacterial small subunit ribosomal RNA", at positions 28 to 506 of the family's 1533-position model. The record is from RNAcentral.
GACGAACGCUGGCGGCGUGCCUAACACAUGCAAGUCAACUUGACUGAAGGAGCAAUCUGACAGUAGAGUGGCGCAAGGGUGCGUAACGCGUAAGUAACUUGCCCAAGGUAAGGAAUAACGUCGAGAAAUCGGCGCUAAUACCUCAUAAUGCAGCGGAUCCGCAUGGAUAUGUUGUUAAAGGUUUACCGCCUUGGGAUAGGCUUGCGUCUGAUUAGCUAGUUGGUGUGGUAACGGCACACCAAGGCUACGAUCAGUAACUGGUCUGAGAGGAUGAUCAGUCACACUGGAACUGAGACACGGUCCAGACUCCUACGGGAGGCAGCAGUGAGGAAUAUUGGGCAAUGCUCGAAAGAGUGACCCAGCAACGCCGCGUGGAGGAUGAAGGUAUUCUAUAUCGUAAACUCCUGUGAGAGCAGACGAAAGACAGAUUAUUAAUACUGGAUGACUGUAUGCUCAGAGGAAGCCCCGGCUAACUACGU